ACCCGCUGAACUUAAGCAUAUCAAUAAGCGGAGGAAAAGAAACCAACAGGGAUUACCUUAGUAACGGCGAGUGAAGCGGUAAAAGCUCAAAUUUGAAAUCUUCGGAAUUGUAAUUUGAUGGAUAAAAUUGCCACGGACAAAAGUUCACUGGAAAGUGACGCCGUAGAGGGUGAUAGCCCCGUUUACGUCCACCGGCACUAUAAUUUUAUUCCAAAGAGUCGGGUUGUUUGGGAAUGCAGCUCAAAGUGGGUGGUAAAUUCCAUCUAAAGCUAAAUAUUGACGAGAGACCGAUAGCGAACAAGUACAGUGAUGGAAAGAUGAAAAGAACUUUGAAAAGAGAGUGAAACAGUACGUGAAAUUGUUGAAAGGGAAGGGGAGGGAAGAUGUUAAAGGGACUCCUUUCUUUAGGGAGGGAUCCCCCCAAGAGUCUUUCCUCUCGCCCGUCUUGAAACACGGACC
Molecule: ribosomal RNA, 459 nt
Filed under: [Candida] ipomoeae
Lineage: Eukaryota; Fungi; Ascomycota; Pichiomycetes; Serinales; Metschnikowiaceae
Description: LSU rRNA
Rfam family: Eukaryotic large subunit ribosomal RNA
Source: RNAcentral